This is a long non-coding RNA of Mustela lutreola (European mink), 2504 nucleotides long. RefSeq lists it as uncharacterized. The record is from RefSeq and is a predicted model, not a curated record. NCBI's taxonomy places the organism in Eukaryota, Metazoa, Chordata, Mammalia, Carnivora, Mustelidae. The transcript has 5 exons.
CUACCUACUCCUUCUCAGCCCGUCUUCGCUUCCCCCCACCCACUUUCCUCAGAGCGGACGGAGCCGAGGGGGCGGGGGCUCCCUCCCGGGAGCGUUUCUAGAGCUCGGAGGCAGCUAGUAGGGGUUUCAUUGUCCACAUGUUUAAAGUCUAACAGAAAAAAAAAAAAUCACUGGAUGUGAAGUUGGGAGACAGAGCCAAGUCUACAUCUACAUCGUCAUGCUGGUGACCUUGGGGCACCACUUUCAGAUAAAAACAUAGACCUGAAUGGCAUCAUCCAGUAUCCAAGGAAACCAUUCUGGCAUCUUCAUGCAACUGAAAGGAUGUUCCACUGAACAGUGACGACUCUGGAGAGAGAAAAGAAAUCACAGAUGGCCAAAUGCAGCUUGAGAGCCACUGAGGGAAGGCCAAGUGAGGAUAGAUCAAGAAGGCAGCUAUCUAUAAGCCAGGAAGAGAAUCUCACCAAAACCCAAAUCGUCUGGCACCUUGAACAUGGACUUCCAGCCUCCAGAAUUGUGAGAAGAUAAGUUUCUGUCAUUUAAGCACUCAGUCCAUGGUACUUUGUUAUGGCAGCCCACAGAGACUAACACAGCAAUUAAAACCAAAUCUUAUUCAAGCAGGUCCUCAUCCUGUAGGGGGGAGAGGGAACAGCCACGGAGAUCUAGCUGAAUUGGAUAUACAUGCUCAUGUGCUUUGUCCCUUUGGAAGUGAAAGUCAAGGUUAUCAUCACAGUGGGCCCAAAGAGCCCUCAAAGUCAAAAUGGCGAAGUCAAAAUGGCUCAAAACAUUUUGUACUCUUUAGAAUCGCAUACAGCAGUAUUUGAGUCUGCACGAUUAGGGUUGAAAGGGAAAAUGAUGGCAAAAGUUUUCAAAGAGAAGGUGAGAGUCUGUGUCUUGAAGAAUGAAUAGUAGUUUUCUAGAAAAUGAGGUGAAAGAAAGUAUGUGUUCCUCAGAGAGAACAGAGGUGUAAGUGAACACAGUGGAAUCCUGGAUUCUGGAGACUAACUAAUUCCUUGUGGCUGGAGCUUACACACUAAAUGGAGGAGUUAUAGAAGGUGAGGCUGGAAAUAUAAGAGAGAGCCAGUUCUUUAAAAAUCUUCAUUGGUUAAGCUUGAAAUCAGACUUCAGUCAGUGACAUGGAGGACAUAAAAGAAUUUUAACCUGUGUGGUUAUAGAAUUAGAUCUGCAGGUUAGAAAUGUACUUUCGAUGCACUGUGGAGAUUGUACUGGAACCCAAUCCUGCAGUUAAGGCUUCGGAUGGGAUUUAAGGUAGUGACGCUGAACCAUGAAUUCUCUUGGAUACAGAAAAGCAGUCAUGAAGCUGCCUUUGAUUAUUACCUCCUUAGCUGAAGGACAGAGUUCAAAUUUUCAAUCACUUCAGAAUUCCAGUAAUACUUCCUCCUUUUUAUUAUGGCACUGGAAUAACAUUUCUAGAAAAGAAAUGACUUACUGUUCUUGUGGAUACCACACAUCAGGAAUGACACCCAUACUCUGGUCCUCAUCAAAACCAAAGUGGCUGCAAAAUGAGCAAGCCGGUGGUCUGGUGAGAAAUUCAGCAUUCUCUUUUUCUUCUUUUGAGUACUCCUUGGUUUCAUUUUUAUGAAGUACCACACUUUGCUGUGCUUUUCGCUGAAUCUGCUUACAUGUUCUUAAUCCAGUGUUUCAGAGGGCAGUAAAAAGAAGACGUAAACAUGUUCAAUGAGUAAUUACUAAUCAAGCCCUAAGGCCAACAGGAGUCAUAAAAUGUACAACGUCACCUUAGCCUGGCCGGGAUGCUGUAGGCUGGAGCUAGUCAAAUACAGGAGGAAGUUCAUGUUUUUGUGGUGUGGAGUGGACUUUUUCUGUGUGCCUACUGGGUUUUAAAACAAUUGUAAAAUUACUACUCUUAGACUCUCCUGAGACUAACUGCCAAGAGAGAAAGGUGGACAACUUUGUCUUGUGAUUAACACACCUUCCCCACUCAGUAUUGUGCUCAUUCUUUCCUCUUCAAACGAAACGUCGGCCUAGUGGAGCGGCACUGUUCCCUCUUUUAUGUGUCACGUGGAAUCCUUGAAACUGACUUUACCUGUUAGCGCUAACAACAGUGAUGAUUGGUUAUUGUGACGCCUGCAGAUGCCUUUCUUCCUGGGCAGUUGUUAUCAAUCUGGGAAUCUUGUCACCCCAGUCCCCCCAUAAUGUUUCCUUAUGACUGCAUUCUUAGUAGCUGUAAGUAACUCUUUUACUCAACAGGGAACAAGGGCCAGAUGGCAUGCAGACAUGUGCUUGAGACUGGGUGAGUCUCAUUUGUUCUCUAUUUCUCGUUACUUACUGUCACUCCUUAGCUAACCACACAUAAGGAACCCACCCUGUGGGCUGCUUUUUGUCAUAUAUAUCUGAGACACAAUUACAGUAAUGGGCUUUUCAUUAACAUUAUUGUUAUUAUGGGUUUAUUUUUGUUGUUUUUCAAUCUGGCUCUUUUUUUUUUUUUUUUAAAGGUGAGAUAUAAAUAAAUCCAACAAUGUAAACAG